GCAUAUGAGGAAAAAUUGAUAGGCACGUCGCUUGGUCAUUCAUUCACGCAAUGCGAGAUGCGAGAAAUAGAGAAAUCACUGAGGCAGAAGAUACGGGGCGUCUCACCGUUUCUUCAAAUACGAUCGAAACUGAAGAAACCAAAGGCUCAGAAAUCGAACAGAAGCAACAAUUCUUAAGAAGCGUACAAAAAAGGAAAGAGGUGUUAAUUGCCUCAAUUAAUCGACAGCUCACGUGACAACGUGGAUUUCUUCGACAGGGGAUUUUUUUCCAGGCGCCCGGAGCGUCACACGCGCAUCGGGGAAAAUUACUCUGGAUUCGUUUCACGGUUCAACGCCGCGGAUGAAUAAUACAUUCGGAGUCUGAGGAACGCUCAUCCAAUUCCACUGCAACGACGAUUGAUUCCUUACCAAGAAUCGGAGGCAGGAAAUUUUGUCCAAGGAUAACCAUCUCAGUUUUUAUUUGUCCAUCGGUUAAUUGAUACAACGGGACAACUGUUAUAUUUUUUUAUUUGUGUUUUUUUUUUAAAUAUUUCAGUUUUCCUUAAUCCGCUUCAAAUUAUUCGAGCCAUUCCGGGGAGAUUAUAGUUCUUUAUUUGUGGUUCCUUUAGAAUGUUUCAAUUUUUCAUUAGGUAUUUGCUUCGUAUUAUUCAAGCAAUCUCGAUACCGAGGAGGGGCAGCGUGUAUUUUUGUUGUUGCAAGAAGGAUCGAUGAACAAAUUCCAGGCGAUCCGUGGCGGAGUCUCGGUCACAGAUUAACCAAGUUACGCAGAAUUCUACGGGAAAGCGCAUCACCGCAGGCUUCGCUCUCAAGGUUCUGAGGAAGCCUGUUUGCGCACGAGUUCUGACGAUCUCGUCGCAGAUGAAAGAUAACCGGCGGCCAAUCCGAGGCAUCGCAGCGCGUUUCAUCGAGAUUCGCCAACUUCCGAUAACGCGGCUUUGAUCAUCCAGGCCGUACCGAGGAAUUUAACAACGUCACAUCAUUCUUCCACCGACGCCAAUUGUUUUCAUAAUUGCAUUUAAAAAAUGAAUUAUAGAUUGA
Ceratina calcarata is the source of this 1038-nucleotide long non-coding RNA. RefSeq lists it as uncharacterized. The transcript is spliced from 3 exons. Lineage: Eukaryota; Metazoa; Arthropoda; Insecta; Hymenoptera; Apidae. The record is from RefSeq and is a predicted model, not a curated record.